UUCUUCCAUGCAAUGUCAAACCCUGUAAUAAACAAACUCAGUUCUUCAGUGUGUCACUUUGUGCUUUCUGUCUGUUUCACAGCCGAAUAAACAAAAAAAAAAAAAAAAACAAAUUGUCUUUGGUCUUUUUAUUGCGUUUUUGGGUUUUAAUUUCAAUCAAAACUUGGUUCAUUUUGGUUUCAAAAAUGUCUUAUAAUCUUUCAUCAAUUUCUGAUUACUCUUGCUUCAACUAUAAAAUUCCAGAAAUGGUUUCCACUGAAACAAUCGAUUAUAACAUAUUGUCUGAUCUUCCCAGUUAUGAUCUUCAAGCUCUGUUGAACAACAAGGGAAACGAACAAAACCGAAACCAGCUUGAAAAUCUCUGUCUUUAUCGAACAACCCAGUUUCAAUCUCUGUCUUCUAGUCGAAAUCCAGACAAAGGGUAUGAAAAUUUCGAUUUUGCUUACAACGAUGAAAAUGUGGCAAAGUUCUUACAAAGAAGCUGCUUUAAUGGCCAUUCUUUUCGAAAUUUUCAAGGUCCUGACAACAGCUUUUUUGAGAGCUCGUUAAUGGAAGAACCAGUCUUUAAAAUAGGACGUUACAACCCAGAAGAGAGACAAGAGAGGAUUUCAAAGUAUAGAGCUAAACGUAAUCAAAGGAACUUCAAUAAAACAAUUAAGGUUUGUAAUUAUCUUUUUUUGUCUUUUUGUUUGAUUUUGAUUAUGUUCUGAACUUCUAAAAACAUGUUUUUUUUUUAAUGGUGAUUGAAAAGUAUGCUUGCCGAAAAACACUAGCCGACAACCGUCCUCGUAUACGUGGCCGAUUUGCACGUAACGAUGAAACUGUCGAGAUUCAGAAAGCUCCAUGUUCAACCAGACAUGAAGACGAAUUUGAAUUAUGGGCGUUGCAUGAGGUGGAAGAUGAAACAAUGGCCAAAGGGACAUUUAUGAACAGUUUCAGUUUACAUCAGUUUCAAUACAGCCGCCAUGGCCGCUUCUGAAGCUUUUCUUUUAGUUAUGGCAGUCUCAUAGAGCCCAAAAAACAGGGGAAAAUUGUAAUUAUAAUAAGUACUGAUAAUAAAAAAGGGUCAAAUUUUAAUGUCGUUGUAAUAAAAAAAAUUAAUAAUAAAAAAUAAGGUGAUCAAUGAUAAAUAUUUGA
This is a long non-coding RNA of Gossypium arboreum, 1137 nucleotides long. RefSeq lists it as uncharacterized. Lineage: Eukaryota; Viridiplantae; Streptophyta; Magnoliopsida; Malvales; Malvaceae. The transcript is spliced from 3 exons. The record is from RefSeq and is a predicted model, not a curated record.